Molecule: long non-coding RNA, 3210 nt
Organism: Callithrix jacchus (white-tufted-ear marmoset)
Lineage: Eukaryota; Metazoa; Chordata; Mammalia; Primates; Cebidae
Source: Ensembl
AUCCCGUUUCCCUGCACGCCCGUCACCCUAGUUCCACAGUUAGAAGUGUACGGGCAAGCAGAAUUCCGGUCCCUCAUUGUACCAUCCCCUAAUCACCAGGACAAAUGGGCAGUCUUUCUCCCAAUAAUAAUAGGUCUCUCUCUAGCACCUUCCCUUGCAGCAACCGGAAUACAGGGUGGGACCAUGGGUUACAGCGUCAAUACAGCUGCCCAACUAGAAGACAAACUUCGUGUGGCUACUGAAGCAUCAGCUGCCUCUUUAGCCUUGCUCCAGCGACAACUUACUUCACUGGCGCAGGUUUUUACAAGCCCGUCUAAGAGAAAUUUCCAGGGUAGCUGUAAACCAAAUGUUACUUCACCCAUACGUCCGGACACAACGGCCAGCCAACUGACCUCCCCACUCCACCACCGUUCAACAGGAAGUAGUCAGAAAGAAACAGUGCCCUAUGUCAUCAAAAAGGUCUACAUUCAGCACUAGACUAUGCACUCUCAGCACCAAGCUAUGCAUUUGAACCUCAGCACUAAACUAUACAUCUGAACCCACGAAAAUUGAAGAUAUCCUGCCAAGCCUUACCCAAUGGCAGCCCACCCCAUGCAUCCUAGGCCAGGCCCCCCACUAACCCCCAUAAAACCCCCUGCCCUGAGAAGUCAAGCGUGACUUCUCUGGCCCUCUUUCCUUAGGACCACAGAACCUCGCCCAGGAGAUAAAUAAAUUGGCAUCUGAUUGUUCUUAUACUGGCCUCAGUUUCCUUUUCAACUCGGCAGUAACCAUUACAAUCAUCCCAGAAAAUAAAAUUAACCUAUCAGAUUCUCUAGCUCUGAGUACAUAUAUGUUCUUAUUUUCACUCAUCCAUUUUAUGCAAUGACAGUUUUUGUGAUAAAAUAACUUCAACAUGCAAUAAAGGAGAUAAUCUCUUCUUUGUCAUAUACUGCAUCUACCCACUUAAUUUUUAUUCUUAUACUUCAGGAAGCUGGAUGCUCUUAACUUAUAUAGUUCAGUUUUUUCAAUCUCUGCUUGUCUAAUCCUUUGCAAUGUGUUAAAAUAUUGGCGAUAUAACAGAAUUUGUCCAAUUUCAAUAAUAAAAUCAUAGAAUAUUAUAACCAGAAGGAAUCUUAGGAAUCCUGUUAGCCACCCCCUCAUUUUGUAUAUGAGAACACUGAGGACCAGUAACCAGAAUGCUGGUCAAACUCUGCCAUGCCAGUUAAUGUUUCCUUCAGAAACACUAGUACCUACUGCAGGAAAAAAAAUCAUUACAAAAUCCACACAUUAGAAAAGUCUUUCAAAUACUAUGAUUUUUUUUUAAGGAUGAUUUUGGCCAUGUCACUUUUAUAUGGUGUCCUUGCAAUACAGGAAAAGAUGCUACCAUCAUUCAGCAACUGAAGGAUAAAGGACCUCGCUAGGGAUACAGUGGACUCUGUGAUAUUCAGUGGUUGAUCUAAUCACAGCACCCCAGGCAGCAAGGUAGCAUCCUGGAGUUAAUGUGAUGCUUUCCAAGCUUCUAACUCAUUCAUUCAUGUUCAUUGAGCCCCUCUCCUGGGUAAAUUUCAUUAAGUCCUUAUGAGAAAUGAAAUUAGGAAAAGUAUAACUUGUCUACAAAAUAAUAAUUAAAUUUCACUUAAGAGGAAAGCAUGCAUCUCUGAUUCUACUAGCACAACACUGGGACAAAAUGGGAUACAUAGCUUAUGUUAAAACAAAAUACCAACAACAACAAACCUAAGCAUAAAUUCAGGAAAGUAAAGUGAUAGGACAGCAGUCAUCCUGUAUGCUAAGUGAAAAACUCCACUGAAGAUUUGCAUUUUAUCUUUGCAUCUAGCCUUUGUCAAAAAGAGCAGCUCCUUCUUUGAUGGGCAGGCUACUAAAUACUACCAUCCAUUGUCUACAUUCAAAUGUAAUUAGUCUCUGUUUGAAAGAAACAUUUAAGACUGAGUGACUUGGGGGGAGGGAGAGGAAUGUAAGUAAUCCUAUUUUUACAUUCAACCAAACAUGAAGACAACAAGAAAACCUGCAAGGAAAAGCAAUGAAAUUAUUUUCACAGUAUGUGAACAUCAUCAUUCACUGCUAGUCUGUCACUGCUAGUCUGUCACAAUAUGUCUUUAAAAAUUUUUGAUUUCAGUACUUUAGAUUUCAGUCCCUGUAUGACAACCUGUAAAACAUCAACAUGAACUAUGGAAGGAUCACAUAACCCUGAAUACUACAAGAGGAAGUUGAUCAGGUUUAGCUUCAUAUAUUUACAGUUAAAAUAGAACACAUGAGAAAAUCUUUUCAGAGACAAAGGAACUAGCUUUAUAAAGGCACAUUCAGAAAUAUAAAAUAACUGAUAGAUGUAAACUUCUGCAAUUAAUUAAUUUUCUGGAUUAGUAUAAAUAAUAUGAAAAACAGUUCUGGUAUCUUAUCAUUUAUUCAUCAAACAUUCAUAUGCAAUAUAUGAGAAGCUGGGGCAGGGGUGUAAAAAAAAUGAACAAAGCACAAAUAUACCCACUUUCAUGGAACUUACAUUCUAGACCAGGGUUUGGGGAGGAGAGCAGAUGAUAAAUAGCAACAAAUAAAGAUGAGGCCCCUAUCUUGUGGGGCUCACAAUCAAGUUGGGAGAAAAAUAUAUAAAAAUAAAUAGCCACAUGAAGAUUAAAAGAAGCAAAGAAAGCUCUGUACAUAGGGAUAGUAAGUCUUUGGUUGUUUAUUACCCUGUCUUCAUUUGAAGAGUUGUGGUUUCUAUAAAGACCAAUCCAAAGCCAAGAAUUACACUGUGUUGAUGAUACCAUUUAUAAAUGAGAGCCAGUAGAGAAAAUAUGUAAGAAAGUAUGUCAAAGUCCUAGGAAGUUAGGGUACUCUAGAAAUUUCCCUAAUAAUUAAGGGUAAAAAAUAAUCUGUUGCGGAGGAUACAAGAUGGCAGAUUAGACACAACUCCAGUGCACAACACCCAGCAAGAGAGACGCAGAAACCCAGAGAUCUCCUAGCUCCAACCGAGGUACCAGGUGCGUUUCAAUGGGUCUGGUCCGAGGGUGAGCAAAGCCCACUCAGGGCAGACAGAGGCGGGGAGGGGUGCCACAACAAACCUAAGCUUAAAUCCAGGAAAGUAAAGUGAUAGGACAACAGACAUACUGUAUGCUAAGUAAAAAACUCCACUGAAGAUUUGUAUUUUAUCUUUGCGUCUAGCCUUUGUCAAAAAGAGCAGCUCCUUCAUUGAUGGGCAGAAAGUGCAUCUGACUGGCG